UACGGAGGGAGCUAGCGUUAUUCGGAAUUACUGGGCGUAAAGCGCACGUAGGCGGCUUUGUAAGUAAGAGGUGAAAGCCUGGGGCUCAACCCCAGAAUUGCCUUUAAGACUGCAUCGCUUGAAUCCAGGAGAGGUGAGUGGAAUUCCGAGUGUAGAGGUGAAAUUCGUAGAUAUUCGGAAGAACACCAGUGGCGAAGGCGGCUCACUGGACUGGUAUUGACGCUGAGGUGCGAAAGCGUGGGGAGCAAACAGG
RNAcentral lists this ribosomal RNA (253 nucleotides) under uncultured bacterium. RNAcentral describes it as "partial 16S ribosomal RNA". It matches the Rfam family "Bacterial small subunit ribosomal RNA", at positions 524 to 776 of the family's 1533-position model. The record is from RNAcentral.